This 497-nucleotide ribosomal RNA is filed under the name uncultured bacterium. Its description in RNAcentral is "partial 16S ribosomal RNA". It matches the Rfam family "Bacterial small subunit ribosomal RNA", at positions 28 to 507 of the family's 1533-position model. The record is from RNAcentral.
GAUGAACGCUGGCGGCGUGCCUAAUACAUGCAAGUCGAGCGAACGGACGAGAAGCUUGCUUCUCUGAUGUUAGCGGCGGACGGGUGAGUAACACGUGGAUAACCUACCUAUAAGACUGGGAUAACUUCGGGAAACCGUAGCUAAUACCGGAUAAUAUUUUGAACCGCAUGGUUCAAAAGUGAAAGACGGUCUUGCUGUCACUUAUAGAUGGAUCCGCGCUGCAUUAGUUAGUUGGUAAGGUAACGGCUUACCAAGGCAACGAUGCAUAGCCGACCUGAGAGGGUGAUCGGCCACACUGGAACUGAGACACGGUCCAGACUCCUACGGGAGGCAGCAGUAGGGAAUCUUCCGCAAUGGGCGAAAGCCUGACGGAGCAACGCCGCGUGAGUGAUGAAGGUCUUCGGAUCGUAAAACUCUGUUAUUAGGGAAGAACAUAUGUGUAAGUAACUGUGCACAUCUUGACGGUACCUAAUCAGAAAGCCACGGCUAACUACGUG